RNAcentral lists this ribosomal RNA (253 nucleotides) under uncultured bacterium. Its description in RNAcentral is "partial 16S ribosomal RNA". It matches the Rfam family "Bacterial small subunit ribosomal RNA", at positions 524 to 776 of the family's 1533-position model. The record is from RNAcentral.
UACAGAGGGUGCGAGCGUUGUCCGGAAUUACUGGGCGUAAAGCGCGCGCAGGCGGCUUCUCAAGUCAGGGGUGAAAGCCCAGAGCUCAACUCUGGAAUUGCCUUUGAGACUGAGUGGCUUGAGUACGAGAGAGGUGAGUGGAAUUCCCAGUGUAGAGGUGAAAUUCGUAGAUAUUGGGAGGAACACCGGUGGCGAAGGCGGCUCACUGGCUCGUAACUGACGCUCAUGCACGACAGCGUGGGGAUCAAACAGG